This 253-nucleotide ribosomal RNA is filed under the name uncultured prokaryote. RNAcentral describes it as "partial 16S ribosomal RNA". It matches the Rfam family "Bacterial small subunit ribosomal RNA", at positions 525 to 777 of the family's 1533-position model. The record is from RNAcentral.
ACGUAGGGGGCAAGCGUUGUCCGGAAUCACUGGGCGUAAAGCGCGCGCAGGCGGCUGUCUACGUCCGGGGUGAAAGCCCAGAGCUCGACUCUGGGAUUGCCUUGGAUACGGGAUAGCUUGAGGAUCGGAGAGGCAAGGGGAAUUCCACGUGUAGCGGUGAAAUGCGUAGAGAUGUGGAGGAACACCUGUGGCGAAGGCGCCUUGCUGGCCGAUUUCUGACGCUGAGGCGCGAAAGCCAGGGGAGCGAACGGGA